This 57-nucleotide ribosomal RNA is filed under the name Pituna poranga. RNAcentral describes it as "partial 16S ribosomal RNA". Lineage: Eukaryota; Metazoa; Chordata; Actinopteri; Cyprinodontiformes; Rivulidae. The record is from RNAcentral.
CACUUAUAGGCUAGCUUACAACCCUAUAUAAACAUUUAUAUGUGUAAUAUUAACAUA